GGACUACUGGGGUAUCUAAUCCUGUUUGCUCCCCACGCUUUCGCGUCUCAGCGUCAGUUGGUGUCCAGGAAGCCGCCUUCGCCACUGGUGUUCCUCCUGAUAUCUACGAAUUUCACCUCUACACCAGGAAUUCCACUUCCCUCUCCACCACUCAAGGCCGGUAGUUUCGAAUGCAGUUCCCAGGUUGAGCCUGGGGAUUUCACACCCGACAUGCCGACCCGCCUACACGCGCUUUACGCCCAGUAAUUCCGAGCAACGUUUGCACCCUCUGUCUUACCGCGGCGGCUGGCAC
RNAcentral lists this ribosomal RNA (292 nucleotides) under uncultured bacterium. Its description in RNAcentral is "partial 16S ribosomal RNA". The record is from RNAcentral.